UGUGUUUUCUCACAGUGGCCCCCACAACGAAGGCAGGUCUGGGGAAUCAGAACCCUCUGACAACCAGUUUUCUAGAGCUCGGAGUGCGUUUUGCAACACAAGGUCAAGAGAAAGCACUGAGUUGUUUUGUUCUCCAGAAACUCUUUCGCUAAAUCAACCAGACUGAAAAAUAGCAAGGGCCAUUUCCAGCAAAAAUAACCAGCCACGGUAAUGAUCCCAUCUCCAAUCCCCUUAUGUACUGUUGUCUGUGCAGAACUGCACUAGGAGCGUAGUGAAGGAGAAGAGACAUGUUUUUCUAAAAAAGUGGAAGUUUGACCUUUUUCUUGCCCAGCCCCCACAUAACAGUAUCUGUCUCUCCUGAGCCCGUUAGGAGAUUUAGUUUAUCAUCUUGCCUGUCCUAAAAUGUGUGGACAGGGAGGUUUCCAGGGGGGCAAUCUCUUGACAGCUGUUUUCUGCUGUCAGCCAAACAAUUAAGCAAAACACCACAGCCCUAUAAUUACAUGUAAGGCGUUUCUCACGUACCACAUAAGUCUGGCAGCUGCUAACAAAGGUCUGGGUGCGCACGGGACUGCUCCAUCUGGAGAUGGCUGUGUAGGCAGCCCAUUUCAUGAUCCAUGCAAACAGAGAGACAGAGCAUACCGUACAUUGCCGCUGCAGCAGAUGUGUCCUGACAGAGGCUUCUCUGGAGCAGCCUGCGUUUAAAUGGGGAGAAGAAGAGCUAAGGCUCAGUCGUUUAUUGAGCAGCCUUUGCUCCGCCGAUGCUGGAAAGUCAUUCUCAAGGCAGUGACACCCGCCGACCCGAAGCACCAGGGGAGGAGAGCAGACCUCAGUGUGAAGUGGCCCAUGCUCAGUGUGUGUUUGUACUGACACAAAACCCUGGUGAGCGGUGGCCUGGGCUGCACUUGGACGUGCUCCGUGUGUUGAUGCUGCAUCAGCAUGUGGCUCUGUUGCUACAAACACCCCUCUUGUGCCAAAACACCCGCAGAUCAGUGCCGCCUGGGGUCUCCUCCUGACCUUGGGUGGUGUGAUACAAGACCUUCAACCCCAGACAGGUUCAGAUGCAUGUUAUGAAAUGAAGUUAUGCAGGAAGCCAAGGACUUUGUCUGGGAAGGGUUGAGUGCUGUUCCUCCAGCGGCACAUCCUGGGUGUGGGAGAUGUUGAUCUGCACCACCACCGACCCAGCAAAUGUCACUGAUGCAGCGGGUGAGGAUGCCAAACCAGGUUCAGGCAAAACUGAGACUUCUUGUCUCCUGAGCCGGGUUUCAUCCCACGUGAUUGUAGAGAUGUCACAACAUGGAUGUAGAAUGACUAAACCUUUAGGGGACCUGGGGAGGUCAUCUGAUCCAACUCCCUACUCAAAGCAGGGCUAAUUUUGAUGUUAGAGCAGGUCACUCAGGGCCAUGUCCAGGUGAACUUUGGAAACCUCCAAGGAUGAAGAUCCCACAGCCCCUCUGGGCAACCUCUUCUAGUUUGUUUGUUUGUUUGUUUUGGGUUUUUGUUUGUUCGUUGUUGUUGUUGUUUUGAGGUUUUUUUGUUUGUUUUUUUCCCCUAAUACUAAAUCAGAGCUUUCUCUGAUGCAACUUUUGUCUGGUUUCUACAACAGAGUCAUCCUUGAUUCCUUUAUGAUCUUUGUAGAGAACCAAAUUUCAGGUCUCUGAAGUUUUCCAGCUCUUUUAUGGAGAGAUAAAUUUCAAGUUUCAAAUGAGUGCCCGUAUUUCCCAGCUGGUGAGACAGGCUCCCCUUGUGCAUGCUGCUGCCCUUCCACUACCACUCAUUCUGGGCCACAGGUGCCUCCUCCAUCUUUCAUGCCCUUUGGAGACAACUAAUCCUUCCUUAGCUGUGGAUGUCCACCUAGCAAUCUAAAAUGGCAUUUCUUGACAAAGCCAGAGCAGAUCCACUUUUAGGGGUAGGAAGAGGAGCUGGUUGCCUUCACCUUUUUCACCUGCAUCUCCCAUGUUUGGGGACUACAGGUCAUGUAGUCAUGCCCAGCUUCUCUUCGGUGCCCUGGCACUUGUAGAUGACUACGGAAGAGCCCUUCUGCUCUUCAGCAUGCAAAUUAAGACAGAAAAGACAAUGUGCAUUUCCCCCCUCCCACAACCCCAGCAUGUAGCUUCAAUAUUUGCGUUAUUAGAAAGCUGGGGGCUCUCCGUGGAGGCAUCCUGCAUCCUGGGAUAAAAGGCAAAUGUGUACAGGGAUUGGGGGGGGAGUGGCAUGUUUGUGAAACAUGGAUGUAAUAAUCCUUGAGCAAUUCAUUUAUUUAGGAAUGACAAAAAAAGCCAGCAGGUGAUUCUUUUGUUCUCUGACAGGGACAAUAUUUUUUUUGUAUAUAAAAAAGGCUUUCAAGAAAAGCUUUUCAAGUUGACGCUAUCAGAAUUUUUUCAACAGAGUAUUUUUGACAGAAGAUACCAAUUUGCUGAAAUGAAAAAUAUUGCAAAAAAAUACGAAAAAUGCUACAAAAAGGUCACAGUUUUGUAGAGAAAAAAUAUAAAAGGAAUGCUUUCAAUUCAUAAAUUUUUCAUUAAAAAAUUUUGCAAUUUCA
Long non-coding RNA from Columba livia (rock pigeon), 2539 nucleotides. RefSeq lists it as uncharacterized. The transcript is spliced from 2 exons. The record is from RefSeq and is a predicted model, not a curated record. NCBI's taxonomy places the organism in Eukaryota, Metazoa, Chordata, Aves, Columbiformes, Columbidae.